This 283-nucleotide ribosomal RNA is filed under the name Escherichia coli. RNAcentral describes it as "partial 23S ribosomal RNA". It matches the Rfam family "Bacterial large subunit ribosomal RNA", at positions 582 to 867 of the family's 2925-position model. Lineage: Bacteria; Pseudomonadati; Pseudomonadota; Gammaproteobacteria; Enterobacterales; Enterobacteriaceae. The record is from RNAcentral.
CGCUUAGGCGUGUGACUGCGUACCUUUUGUAUAAUGGGUCAGCGACUUAUAUUCUGUAGCAAGGUUAACCGAAUAGGGGAGCCGAAGGGAAACCGAGUCUUAACUGGGCGUUAAGUUGCAGGGUAUAGACCCGAAACCCGGUGAUCUAGCCAUGGGCAGGUUGAAGGUUGGGUAACACUAACUGGAGGACCGAACCGACUAAUGUUGAAAAAUUAGCGGAUGACUUGUGGCUGGGGGUGAAAGGCCAAUCAAACCGGGAGAUAGCUGGUUCUCCCCGAAAGCU